GAUGAACGCUGGCGGCGUGCCUAACACAUGCAAGUCGAGCGAUCUUCUUCGGAAGAGAGCGGCGGACGGGUGAGUAACGCGUGGGUAACCUGCCUCAUACACAUGGAUAACAUACCGAAAGGUAUGCUAAUACAAGAUGACAUAAGAGAUUCGCAUGGAUUUCUUAUCAAAGCUCCGGCGGUAUGAGAUGGACCCGCGUCUGAUUAGCUAGUUGGUAAGGUAAUGGCUUACCAAGGCUUCGAUCAGUAGCCGACCUGAGAGGGUGAUCGGCCACAUUGGAACUGAGACACGGUCCAAACUCCUACGGAGGCAGCAGUGGGAAUAGUUGCACAAUGGGCGAAAGCCUGAUGCAGCAACGCCGCGUGAGCGAUGAAGGCCUCGGGUCGUAAACGUCUUUACCAGGUACGAAGGACGUGACGGUACC
RNAcentral lists this ribosomal RNA (424 nucleotides) under uncultured bacterium. RNAcentral's name for it is "bacterial SSU rRNA". It matches the Rfam family "Bacterial small subunit ribosomal RNA", at positions 28 to 479 of the family's 1533-position model. The record is from RNAcentral.